This 460-nucleotide ribosomal RNA is filed under the name uncultured bacterium. Its description in RNAcentral is "partial 16S ribosomal RNA". It matches the Rfam family "Bacterial small subunit ribosomal RNA", at positions 338 to 795 of the family's 1533-position model. The record is from RNAcentral.
CCUACGGGGGGCAGCAGUGAGGAAUAUUGGUCAAUGGCCGGAAGGCUGAACCAGCCAAGCCGCGUGAGGGAGGAAGGCGCAGAGCGUCGCAGACCUCUUUUGCCGGGGGACAAAAGGCCGGACGGGUCCGGUUCUGAGGGUACCCGGAGAAAAAGCAUCGGCUAACUCCGUGCCAGCAGCCGCGGUAAUACGGAGGGUGCGAGCGUUAAUCGGAAUUACUGGGCGUAAGGCGCUCGUAGGCGGUAUGUCAAGUCAAGGGUGAAAUCCCCGCGCUCAACGUGGGAACUGCCUUUGAAACUGGCAAACUGGAGUGUGUGAGAGGAUAGUGGAAUUCCUGGUGUAGCGGUGAAAUGCGUAGAUAUCAGGAGGAACACCGGUGGCGAAGGCGGCCUGCUGGACUGCAACUGACGUUGAGGCCCGAAAGCGUGGGGAGCAAACAGGAUUAGAUACCCCUGUAGUC